CCUCCCGUGGAGCAGAAGGGCAAAAGCUCGCUUGAUC
Molecule: non-coding RNA, 37 nt
Filed under: Mus musculus (house mouse)
Lineage: Eukaryota; Metazoa; Chordata; Mammalia; Rodentia; Muridae
Source: RNAcentral